RNAcentral lists this ribosomal RNA (253 nucleotides) under uncultured bacterium. Its description in RNAcentral is "partial 16S ribosomal RNA". It matches the Rfam family "Bacterial small subunit ribosomal RNA", at positions 524 to 776 of the family's 1533-position model. The record is from RNAcentral.
UACGUAGGUGGCAAGCGUUGUUCGGAAUUAUUGGGCGUAAAGGGCGCGUAGGCGGCCUGUUAAGUCGGUUGUGAAAGCCCGGGGCUCAACCCCGGAAAGUCGACCGAUACUGGCAGGCUAGAGUACGGAAGAGGUAGCUGGAAUUCCCGGUGUAGCGGUGAAAUGCGUAGAUAUCUGGAGGAACACCGGUGGCGAAGGCGGCAUCCUGGACCGGUAUUGACACUGAGGCGCGAAAGCCAGGGGAGCAAACGGG